UACGUAGGGGGCUAGCGUUGCUCGGAAUCACUGGGCGUAAAGCGCACGUAGGCGGAUUGUUAAGUCAGGGGUGAAAUCCUGGAGCUCAACUCCAGAACUGCCUUUGAUACUGGCGAUCUCGAGUCCGGGAGAGGUGAGUGGAACUGCGAGUGUAGAGGUGAAAUUCGUAGAUAUUCGCAAGAACACCAGUGGCGAAGGCAGCUCACUGGCCCGGUACUGACGCUGAGGUGCGAAAGCGUGGGGAGCAAACAGG
RNAcentral lists this ribosomal RNA (253 nucleotides) under uncultured bacterium. RNAcentral describes it as "partial 16S ribosomal RNA". It matches the Rfam family "Bacterial small subunit ribosomal RNA", at positions 524 to 776 of the family's 1533-position model. The record is from RNAcentral.